AUUAAUAUACGUUAGUCUGUGCUCUUUAUUUGUUUUUAAUUAUCUGCUUUUCCUUCAAGGCAACUCAAGUUUAAUAUAAUUAUUGAUAAGGCUGUUUUUACUUUAUCUGCUUUUUUCUUGUUAUUAUUUUGGUAUUAUUUUAACUGACUUCAAUAUUAAAUUCCUCCAGCUAGGGGCCUGUCCAUAUGGACUGUACGGAAAAACAGACACCUGGAUAGCACGCCACAGCCUGCCCUUCCCCUGCAGCAUGGCUUCAGUUCUGUUAAACAAAGGUCUCUGCUCUAGCUCUUCUAUUCCUGAGAGAAAUGUUCAGCCACAUUCCUUUUAAGAUAGCAGUCAAAUAUGAGAUGCUACUUCUUAGCUGGCUAACAGUUAAAUGGAUACAGAAUGAGAAGGUAGAACUGUUUGAGCAAUUACAGUAAGAAUAAUUUUUCUUCAUAUUUGAGCAGAAAAAAAGCCUUUGAGAAUAUGAGUUUUCUAAUUUCUGGCACAAUUACCUUUCCUCUGACCCAUCAUGAAUAAAGCUUUCUCUCUUUAAACUUCUAUAAACCAUAUUUGAAUCAUAGUCAUAUCAAGGUCAAUUUGGAACAACUAUAAUGAUGUCUACAGAAUUUCCUUCAUUUUACUCCCAUGUAACUAACUAUAAAUUGUAGAACUGCCUACGAUCUCUCCUUGGAUGUGUUUUUUUCCACCAAUUUCUCUAUUUUCAUCUUCAUGUAUACGGGAAGGAGAAGCUGUUUUGUUGUAUUCAAUAGGGCAAGAAAAGAGGAGAACAAAGAAUGAAAGGAACAUUGUAGAAAUUUCCAAAGUGUUUGGAGGGAGCUAUGCAUUCAGACUGUGCAGUAUGUGGUUAGACUAUGUAACAUGCUCUCUCUUUAAGUGAUUAUAUUUCAGAUAUAGACUGUGAGAAAUAAUGGUUCAUGCUUUAUAACAAUACUGCUAUGAAAAUUUAACUGAAAUUUCUGAGUCUCCUCCCUCAUCAUUCUCUUUUUCCUCCAUAUGCUGUUUUUCUAAUCAGAAAACGUGUACAUGCUUGGUGAUUUGGCAGCAGGUACUCUCUGUGCAGGCAUAAAUCCCAUUCAGGAAGGCAUAUUCCAAUACUUUUCGUGUUCAAGCUGAAUUCCAUUAAUGGUUCAACUAAAGUAAAUGGAACCAACAGUGGGAAGAUACUAAGAUAUGGAUGUGCUGCUCAGAAUCUGACAUAAAUGCCACAUGCUGACACUUUCUAUAAAAGAGGUCCCAAAUUUCCCAUGAGCUGAAAUUUCCUAUUUUAAAAAUAUGCAUUGGUAUAUUGAUUUUUUUGAUUUAUAAAAUAAAUAAUUGCUAAAAGUUGCAAUCCUUCAUUCAUUCAGAUAAUAUAUGCAGAUCCUAUUUUUGAGUAAUUACAUUUCAAAAGAGCACAGCUCUUUCAGCAUAUUGAAUUGCUACUGACAUAUGCCAUCCGUCUUAAAUACUGUUUUCAGCAUUCUAAUUUCUUUUUCUAAUCAUGAGUCCAUGAUGACAAAUUAAAACAAUAUUUUGUGUGCGAUUCAUAUUUUAUUGAAAUUUAAAAUGGCAAGAAAAGGAUGAGUAUUCAGUUUAUUUUCUCUUCUCAAUUAAUACAGCAAUUAAGAUAAGGAGUAUAAAACUGGCUUAAUUGGGUAGCCAUGGCAACUAAUUGCCUGAUUUCUUCAAAAAUAGCAUGUUUUAGGUGGAAUCAAUCUGUGGUAAUUUAAUUACGUACAUAUGAAGCAAGAAGACAGGUUAGAUACAUGUAAGGAAAAAUUCUGUUUCCAAAUUGUUACACAUCUUUGUUACUCCAUUUUUUUCUAGCUGUUGUCUGUUUCUGUUCAUUACCUGUACUACAGAAUGAAAAUUUUUCCUUUUAACAAUUAGGAGUAUCAAGAAGAGCACAAUGAAUGACUGAAAGUAGUUCACAUGGUACCCAGAAAAAAGGAAAAAAGUGAAAAUUAGACUCUGAAUCCUUCCUCAUUUUCCUUAGAAUGGCAAACUGGCUACAGUCAUGGAACCAAAAUUCCCUUUUUAAAUAUAAAUCAAUAAAUAAAUAAUGACCAGUGCAACUCGAGGCAAACACUGAAAUCACUCCAAUCUAGAUAUAACUUCUUAUGGCUUCUUAUAACUUAUUGUUUCAUGUAUAGUCCAUGAAAUAGAGAUUACUGCUCCUGAAGCUGAUUUCCUGCAGCUCAACCCUCCUGUUGGACAUCCUGCCUAUACUAGGGAUGGCUGCCAUGCAAACACUUAUGAUGUCAAAAGCUGGGGAUGGUGAUGCAACACAGGGAGCAAAACACUUUCAGAAAAGAAAAAGGUAGUUUUCACUCCUGGGUUAUUGCUGUAAGAAACUCUGCUUACUGCGAUUUAGUAUAUCGAAAACUGUAUCUAUUAAAAACGUGAACCUGGCAGAAGCUGGCUCACUGGCAAUAGAUGAGAGUUUCUGUCUCAGUGGAAGAACACUGCUAACUUACUUGUGCCCUGCCCAGGUGGCAUCAGAAGAGGGAAGUAGAGAACUGUAUUUAAGCCAAGUCAGCAAGACUGGGCAUUAGUUUUUCAGCAUUUUUCACCAGCAGCUUACAUACCUGAACGGCAUAGGUGUUUUUUCCAUGUAUUAUGCAAACAAAGGUAACCAAGGUUUUUCUUCUAAAGAGAUGGAAAAGACUAUACAAUGGGAACAUUAACUAGGAUAUUGUGCCUCACUACAAUAACAUUGUUCAUUAACUUAAGACUGUUUGAAUAUAUAUCGUUAUUCCUUCCUCCCUCUUAAAGAAAAGGAGAAACCAUAGUUAGCUUUUUUUUUUCUUCUAGAUUUCAUACAUCUUCCAGAUUAUUUUUUAGCUUCCCCUCCAUAAUACUAAUGUUUUUCUCCUCCCUUAUGUUUUCUAAAUUCUAACGUAAACUCUCAGAAUGUAGGUGAAAAAUGGACCCUUCCUGCAGAGUCUUUUAGCAUGACUGACCUUAUGAGAAAAACAUAGAGACAUACAGGUAUUCUGCUUUAUGAGUCCUCCAUAUACUCCAUAAUGUGCUGCCAUAUGUAGGAUGACCUUACAACAUGGUUACACAGCAGAUCUCCUGGAAGGUCUGAUGCAAGCAGAUUUCUCAAAUUGAAAUGACUUCUUGCCUUUAUUUAAUCUAUACGAGUUUUACAAAUACACUCCCAGUAAUUGCACUGUAUUGUGGUGAUAUUGCAUUGUUUUUACUGAUUAGAAUAAUGAAUUCAAGAAAUAAAAUGAUCUCUAUUGUUGGCACUUUCGUUAAUUGAAAGAAACCUCUGAUGUUUUCUAAGUUUGCAUAAAUAUGACUUUGUCCCAUUAUGAGCUCAUUCUCAGAUUAAACACAGUUCAUGACACUUCAAUGUAUUAACUCUGCUUCAUGAUAUUUCCUACCAUUAUUUAAUUUCUUCUUUAAUAGACCAGAGACUCUAUGUCCACACAAGUAUUUAAUAAAGAGUUUUCAAAUUCUAAAGACACUACCUUGACCUUUACUGAAAUCAAAAGUACAGAGCAAAUUAGGAUAUUCAUUCCAAAAAGUCCUUUUUAACAUAAAAUUUCCCUCAAUAAAAGGUCAAACUUUAUUAUCUAUAAAAUUAAUACCGUGUCCAUCAAACUUGCUAUUACACAUUGUUUCACUUGUGUUUGGGAAUGUACAGGAACCUUUAGAUGUUUAGAGCAGAAGUAAUGUAGUUCAUACUUACUUAGCUACAUUUCAGUUAAUUAGACAAUGCUGAAAAAUAGCAUCAAGUUCAAAAAUAAUUUUGUAAACAACUGUAUUACUUACUGCAGUAAAAUGACUCCAUUUAGAGUUGAAUGACAGUAAAGAAUGCUUUUGUGAUUUACUGAAAAAAAGAUAUAUGGAUUUAUAUAAAGAACUACCAACCAUGAAGCUCCUGGUUUUACUUCUGACAGAAAUCUUCAACAUUUUACAAAUAAGAAAAAUGCCCCAGCACUUGUCCCCUGCACUGAAGUGUAAUAACCAGAAGCUAGUGUCUGAUGAAUCCAGUGACAGAUUCUCUGUUGACAUCAGUGAAAUAGUAUGAAAAAAGUAUCACUGUAAAUUUUGUUUUUAGCUGUCUCAUUUCUUCAAAUAAAAUAGCACCCAAAUGGUAUGGUCACGUUAAAAACAGUGACCAUAUGUGACAAAAAAUGUUAAAAACAUUUAUUUCAUAAAAAAUGAAAUAUGAUGGGACAACUGGAUCCCUUCUGUAAUUAUAUAUACUCUAUAUGCUAUGAAUACAAAUAUUGUUAAAAAUUCGAGAGGCAGGAGACCUUUUCUCCAUUAACACCAGCGACAGGACCCGCGGGAACGGGGUUAAGCUGAGGCAGGGGAAGUUUAGGCUUGA
This is a non-coding RNA of Anas platyrhynchos (mallard), 4330 nucleotides long. The record is from RefSeq and is a predicted model, not a curated record. NCBI's taxonomy places the organism in Eukaryota, Metazoa, Chordata, Aves, Anseriformes, Anatidae.